CGUGGAGACAGGUGGUGCAUGGCUGUCGUCAGCUCGUGUCGUGAGAUGUUGGGUUAAGUCCCGCAACGAGCGCAACCCUUACCCCUUGUUGCCAUCAGGUCAUGCUGGGCACUCUAGGGGAACUGCCCCGGUCAACGGGGAGGAAGGUGGGGACGACGUCAAGUCAUCAUGCCCCUUACGUCCUGGGCUACACACGUGCUACAAUGGCCGGUACAAAGGGAUGCAAAAUCGCGAGGUGGAGCCAAACCCAGAAAGCCGGUCUAAGUUCAGAUUGGAGUCUGCAACUCGACUCCAUGAAGGAGGAAUCGCUAGUAAUCGCGCAUCAGCACGGCGCGGUGAAUACGUUCCCGGGCCUUGUACACACCGCCCGUCACACCACGAAAGCCAGCUGUACUCGAAGUCGCUGAG
RNAcentral lists this ribosomal RNA (408 nucleotides) under uncultured Methylomirabilota bacterium. Its description in RNAcentral is "bacterial SSU rRNA". It matches the Rfam family "Bacterial small subunit ribosomal RNA", at positions 1027 to 1434 of the family's 1533-position model. Lineage: Bacteria; Methylomirabilota (SeqCode). The record is from RNAcentral.